Molecule: unclassified non-coding RNA, 731 nt
Filed under: Bombus terrestris (buff-tailed bumblebee)
Lineage: Eukaryota; Metazoa; Arthropoda; Insecta; Hymenoptera; Apidae
Description: misc RNA ENSBTSG00005020717.1
Source: RNAcentral
CGAUACCAGCGCGAUAAAAGUAAAGUAAUUAACAGGGCCGCGAUGGUAUGAUAGCGAAAUGAUUAUGUUCGUUCUCGGUAUAACAGAGGGUAGGUGACACAAGACGCCAAAACGCAAUUAACUUGAUACAACUUUAAUUAAUGUAAUGCGUGCAGAGGGUGGAAUCGGGGUGUCUUAAUGAGUAUCCAGCUAAUUUACACGUGUUGGAGCAACACAGAGUCACCCUUCCACUCAAAAUUCCGGACGAAACCACAAACUCCGUCAGCCCUUUCGACGACAAAAGCGAAUCCCUGUUUCGACAUUUGCAAACGAGAACCCGUGGACUCGCAGUUGCAACAGUUAGCAGUGUCAGAGGGUCGCGCGAACGACGAUCGUGGCUCGUUAGAAAUCCGCAGUUGGUCCAUCGCUACGUGCAAAUUUGCUCGAUAAAGUGCGAACCUACUUUAUAGCGGGCAAGUUCCGGGGCUUUGCUUCGUCCUCCCUCGGCCUAACGUGUCUCUACGUGCGUCGAGUAUUAAACGUGGACCCGGUUAUCAUCUUUCAGUGAGGAAGGACGCGCGAGUAUCACGGAUUUACGCGCGGACUUUGCAGUUUCUCGCGGCUGUUCGGUCAAAUAUUGCGCUCCUCGAGGGAGCAGCCGUUUGCCAGAAACCUGGAACGCGCGUUAGACAGAAACGAUCAAGAGGCAAAGAGAUGUGAAAGCUAAAUGGCAGCGAGGAAGUUAAUGAUAG